CCUACGGGGCGCAGCAGUGAGGAAUAUUGGUCAAUGGCCGCAGGGCUGAACCAGCCAAGUCGCGUGAGGGAUGACGGUCCUAUGGAUUGUAAACCUCUUUUGUCAGGGAGCAAAGGGCGCCACGUGUGGCGCUUUGCGAGUACCUGAAGAAAAAGCAUCGGCUAACUCCGUGCCAGCAGCCGCGGUAAUACGGAGGAUGCGAGCGUUAUCCGGAUUUAUUGGGUUUAAAGGGUGCGUAGGCGGUCCGGAAAGUCAGCGGUAAAAGCCCGGGGCUCAACCCCGGCGAGCCGUUGAAACUGUCGGAC
Molecule: ribosomal RNA, 305 nt
Filed under: uncultured bacterium
Lineage: Bacteria
Description: bacterial SSU rRNA
Rfam family: Bacterial small subunit ribosomal RNA
Source: RNAcentral